This 253-nucleotide ribosomal RNA is filed under the name uncultured bacterium. Its description in RNAcentral is "partial 16S ribosomal RNA". It matches the Rfam family "Bacterial small subunit ribosomal RNA", at positions 524 to 776 of the family's 1533-position model. The record is from RNAcentral.
CACGUAGGGGACGAGCGUUGUCCGGAAUCAUUGGGCGUAAAGCGCGCGUAGGCGGCCCGGAAAGUCGGAUGUGAAAUCCCGGGGCUCAACCCCGGGCCUGCAUCCGAUACUCCCGGGCUGGAGGCAGGUAGGGGAGAUCGGAAUUCCUGGUGUAGCGGUGAAAUGCGCAGAUAUCAGGAGGAACACCGGUGGCGAAGGCGGAUCUCUGGGCCUUACCUGACGCUGAGGCGCGAAGGCCAGGGGAGCAAACGGG